CAUCGAGUGUUAAAUAUGCUAGUCCUUUCAUGAUUAUGUGAUAGGUGGUGCAUGGCCGUUCUUAGUUCGUGGAGUGAUCUGUCUGCUUAAUUGCGUUUCACUAAGGGCCCAUAAAUUCAAGGUAUGUUAGCUCUCGUCGCUCUAUGGACCCCUUAACUCCAAUAUUCUUAUUGUGUUAAGCGCGUGUCUUUAUUUUAAGAGUUUUAAGACACUGCGCAUG
RNAcentral lists this ribosomal RNA (220 nucleotides) under Neogloboquadrina pachyderma. RNAcentral describes it as "partial small subunit ribosomal RNA". Lineage: Eukaryota; Foraminifera; Rotaliida; Globorotaliidae. The record is from RNAcentral.